AGAUUUUGGCAAAAUUAUGGCAUCUUAAAACUUAAUCCUUUCCAUCUAUGAUUCAUAGCAAGUUCUUUUGAUCUCUUUCAAAAUAAGACUAACCUUCCAGCCUUGGAUUAACAUGUCAUAAUUCUUCUUUUUUUUUUCAAGAAAUUAAUUGCUCCUGAUUAAUUCUACAUAGAAAUUUAAUCGGUUAAAUGUAAGUAGGAGAAAGCUUUAGUAUCAAAUGCUCCUCAUUUUUUUUUUCCAUGAUAUAAUGAUCAACCUUUGUCUUAUAAAACCUCAAGCCCUUUCAAAUAGCCAGAUUAACGAUGUUAGAAUUAGGAAUAUGAGAUCCAUGUUAAAACUUUUCAGAUCUAAGUCCAACCAAGUAACCAUCAAUCCGUGAAUACUAAAUUUAAGAUGCCCAAGAUUCUCCCAAGAAUUGUCAACAAUAGAAAACCCCACUGAUGAAAAUUACAUAGCUACCUUCAGAUUAUUCAUAGAACCAACAACAUUCUUCUCUACUAGAAGACUAACCUCAGUCUUCCAAUAGUUCUACUUAUCAAUAUAAUUUCAUCUUAUCAUAAGAAUAAGGUCCAAUACCUCCAGAUUUGGUUCUUUUAUAGAUGGUGUAAAUCAAACUUCUCUCUCUCAUAAAUAAAAAUCAACGUCUUAAUUUUGAAUAAGAACAUCAAGUUUCUUUGUCAAAAUAUCUACUACUCUUGAUUAAUCGAUCUAUCACAAGAUUAGAUCAUAAAUAACUCUAAUCCACCCCUAGUGGAAUAUUCAUCAAAGUCACUUGACAACCUCAAGUUUUUUUUUUUUUCCAAUAGAGGGUUGAUAUUAAUUGAAGAAGUACAAGCUUCAGAUUUAGGAGGAAAGAGGUCUACACCAAAAUAUUCCAGAUCCAAAAUCAAAAUCAAUGAUCUAUUAAUUCUAGUCUCAAGAUGUUAAUCAUUUCCUUAGCAUGACAUAAAAUUAGAGAACCUAAGAUGGUGCAGCGAUAUCCAAAAAUUCAAAAUCAAAUCAAGUCUUUUGUUAUUAAAACUUGCCGAAUUAAAGGGAUAAUACUUCUGACCAACUUAGAAAAAUAGUUCGGACCACUACGCUUUCGCUGCGCACUCUGAUUCAAACCACCAAAAAUUUUUUUUAAUCAAAAUACUACUUUGUAUUUUGAACUAAGGAGAUUCAAAAUUUUAAUUUCCAAGUAAAGCCCGAAAAGAACUUUUGAUUUCAUCCUCUAACUUCCCCCGAGUACAUCCAUCUAGACUGAUCCUCGAGUCAAUUGAUACGUUCAAAAACACCAUAUAGGCUAGUUACUAUCAUUCAAAAUAAAUUAAAUCUUAAUUCUCUCAUCUACUCAACUGGACGGUUUCAAGUCAAACUCUUACAAGUAAAAAUAACUAGAAAAAUGUUCUCAAUGCUCCACCAAGUUAGAAGACCUUAAAUCAAUAGAUAGAAGUAAAAUUGACUCGGCGAUCUCUUCUAGAGUUUUCUUCAUCAAGAUCUAUAGCAUUUAUUAAAAAUCUUCCAUCAUAAUCAUGUAAGCCUCUAAAAUUCUUUUUUUUUUUAUGAGAAUCUAGAUUUUAUCAGCAACUGCAACAAUAUUGACAAAAGACCCUAGAUCAGCUUAUAAAUCCAAACUUUGAAUUGAAGUUUCAUAUACAUUACAUAAUUUUUGAUAAACAUGAACAAGAUCUAUUAUUUGAAUCCAAAGGUGAUAAUUUAAAUUAUUAAUAAUUUCAUCGAGAUGAAUACUUUAUAAUCUCCAAUAAAAUCAAUUCUUCGAGAUUGAUAUUUAUCCCUGAUUUCUUUCGAAAGAAUAAGCUACAAAUCAAAGAGAAAAUCAAUCUAUACUAAAUCAUUCCAAAUCCAAGAUUAGCCAAUGCAGGAACUAUUAAUCCUAGACUUAGAAUGCCAGAUUUCUCUCUCUCAUUUUUUUUUUCAUAGCAGAUAGAAGAACCUACUAAUAACAUGAUAAUAUCCAUAUCAGUCAAAAUCAAAAACAAUAUUCUUUUCUUUGACAAUGAAAUUCUCCUUAACAAGAAAACCCAUCAGAAAAUAUUUUNN
Molecule: long non-coding RNA, 2043 nt
Filed under: Phoenix dactylifera (date palm)
Lineage: Eukaryota; Viridiplantae; Streptophyta; Magnoliopsida; Arecales; Arecaceae
Description: long non-coding RNA (PDAC_LNC008505)
Source: RNAcentral